This 2287-nucleotide unclassified non-coding RNA is filed under the name Acyrthosiphon pisum (pea aphid). RNAcentral's name for it is "uncharacterized LOC100575499". Lineage: Eukaryota; Metazoa; Arthropoda; Insecta; Hemiptera; Aphididae. The record is from RNAcentral.
GUAUUACAUAUUAAUAGGUACAUUAUAAAAUAUUUAAAUAUAAAAUUAAAUCGUCUGCAAUCUGAAUCAAUAGUUAUUAGUUAUUUUUUUUUCAUAAGACAACAUGGACUCUUUAAUUUCUGAGAUGGAACAGUUGUUAUUGUCUGGUAGAGAGGACUCUAAUAUCCAAGACAUUAUAGAUUUGCUGUGUUACCAGUGUUCAAUAGGAGAAUCUGCAGGUAAAAAUAUUGAUGAUUUGUUAAUUGAAGCUGAUAAAAUAAUUGGUGAAACACUUCCAUACUUUCAAACAUCUUCAAAUACAAAUAAAGUUAUAACUUCAAAAGACUUUAAAAGUAUACAAAAUAAUACUAAAAUUACACCAACACAACCUAAACUUCAAAGGAGUGAUACAAAAAAAGUUAUUUUUAAUUUGAAUAGUAAUUCUCAAAGUACUUUGAUCCCAGAGAAACAUUCAGAAAUCCAUGGAAAAUUAACUAUAAACAAAUGUAUUAAAGAAGAGGGAAAAAAAAAUAUUUGUUCUUCAUCUUUAAAAAAAUGUACUGCUGAGUUAAAGGUUCCGGAUGCUGAAGUAAAUAUAAAAUCCCAUUUUAAAGUGAGCUCAUCUAUGUUGGAAAAUCACAAUCGGCUACAAGUUAUGUGUAACAGACAUGAUAAAUUUGCUAAUAAUAUGAAAACACCGGACCAAAUUAAUAAAUUAAAAACGGAAGAAGAAUUAAAAUACUAUAAAAUGAAAAAUAAUGAACUUGAAAAAAAUCUUAUGUUUAAAGAACAAGAAAUUCACAAUUUGGAAAAUCAAUAUCAGCAAUUAAGUCAGUAUUGUGAAUCAUUUUUAAAAAAAAAUAUUGAAGAGACAUUGAAGAGUUACGAUUGUCAAUUAAAUGAACUAAUUGAACGCAAUAUGACUAGAGAAUCACAAUUGCAUACCAUAAUUGGUAAUCUCCUUGAUGAAAUUGAACAGUCACAUAAUCAAUACAGAAUAAAACUAUCAGAAAAAAAUAAACAAAUACGCAAUUAUCUUGAUCAAAUAGAAACGAUACUUGAUAAUUUUUACAAAUUUAAAAGUAACAAUAUAAAAAUAUAACAUUUGAUUGGUAUUGACAUGACAAUAAUUUAAAAAAGGAAUUUUGCAUUGUGUGUGAACAGAUGAGUUAUGCACACAUUAAAAGAUUGAGCACAAUCAAGAUGAACUGAUGGAUUUGGGUGAUAAGUUAAUGGUUAUAUAAUAUAUAUUAUGAUCUAUCUUAUACAAUAAUAUGACUGAUCAAAAAGUACUUACAAGUUAUUUUCCGAAAUCGUGCACACGUUUGCAUUUGACUGUGAAAGAGCCAAGAAGAACACAACGCCAACUACGAUUGAUAGAAUCCUAAAAUUAUACCAAUUGACAGUGUUAAUUUAACGAUAUUUAAUCAUAUAAUUUAUACAUAUUAUAAAAUACUCGUAUGCGUGUACGAAAAUAUUAAUAAUUUUAUAAUAUUGUAACUAGAACAUAACGGUACGAAUGUAUAAAAAUGUAAAAAAAAAUACGAAUGUGCAAAGUAUACUCUUUGCUCCAAGUUCGUGAACUUACGUCUUAUUCAUCUUGUGUAUCGACGACGAUGUCCUAAAGUCACAAUACACAUCUGGGGACCUCGACGAGUGCUUUUUAUACCAGAAAGAUAGGUGUAAAUUUUCCGGUUGCUUUCAUAUAUGAUGCGUGUUUUCCAACCCAACGGUCUGUACCCUAUUCGUUAUGUUACCUAUUUAUUUUCAAACCCUUAUCCGGGUUAAACCAAAUCACUUCCACACACAGGACCAACUUAACCCUACACUAUAUCGUGGUGAAUAUUUUUCGAAUCAUUGCGCUCAGAGAUAGCAACAAUGUUAGGUGUAAUGUAUAUUAUUACCCUGCUGCACUGAUCCAUAAUAUUAUUAUAUGUGUAGGAGUACUAAAUACGCUUGAAUGGGCAUUGAAUCCGAUUAAUUUUUCGAACAUAUUAUGCCAUAAAGUUUGAUAUAAAAAAAUAUAUUUUAUGAUCUUCUAGUACCAUGUGUAAUCACAUAAUGCGGAAUAUUGACGAUACACGAUCUAUCACCUAUAUAGAAACCGGUAGAUAAAGGUGAAUUUUGCAACUUAGAUAGACAAUAUAAUAUUAUAUAAAUGUACAACUCGUUAAUUUCAUAAUUUAAAAUUUAUUAUUUUCCACUUAUUUGUAAGUAAUUUUAUAGUGAUUUAUACACCUAUUAUUUUUUUAAUGCCACAUCAUCAUAGGUACUAAGGUUAAUAUUGAAAUAUUAUGUUACAUGACAA